This 407-nucleotide ribosomal RNA is filed under the name uncultured bacterium. Its description in RNAcentral is "partial 16S ribosomal RNA". It matches the Rfam family "Bacterial small subunit ribosomal RNA", at positions 30 to 526 of the family's 1533-position model. The record is from RNAcentral.
AUUGAACGCUGGCGGCAGGCCUAACACAUGCAAGUCGAGCGGAGCGGCGGACGGGUGAGUAAUGCCUAGGAAUCUGCCUGGUAGUGGGGGAUAAGGUCCGGAAACGGGCGCUAAUACCGCAUAAUAGCAGAGGAGCCUAGGUGGGAUUAGCUAGUUGGUGGGGUAAAGGCAUAACAAGGAGACUAUCCGUAACUGGUCUGAGAGGAUGAGCAGUCACACUGGAACGGAGACACGGUCCAGACUCCUACGUGAGGCGGCAGUGGGGAAUAUUGGACAAUGGGCGAAAGCCUGAUCCAGCCAUGCCGCGUGUGUGAAGAAGGUCUUCGGAUUGUAAAGCACUUUAAGUUGGGAGGCGUUACCAACAUAAUAAGCACCGGCUAACUUCGUGCCAGCAGCCGCGGGAAUAC